Helianthus annuus (common sunflower) is the source of this 1341-nucleotide long non-coding RNA. RefSeq lists it as uncharacterized. The record is from RefSeq and is a predicted model, not a curated record. The transcript is spliced from 2 exons. NCBI's taxonomy places the organism in Eukaryota, Viridiplantae, Streptophyta, Magnoliopsida, Asterales, Asteraceae.
GGGUCAGAUUUUUUUUUUUUGAACAAUCACAUAGCCUAGAACAUUCAAAACUUGCUCGAUAAUGAAUCAUUAAGUAGAAAGAAAUCACCACUAGCUGUACUUGAUUCCACAAUACUAAAUGCAACAUUAAAACUACAGCAAUAUCGAUUUGGGGUAAUUUCAAAAAAAAAAAAAAUGAUUUCAAUUACCUUUUCAAACAAUAUUUUAACCUAAAAUAUCAACCUCUUCAACUCAGCAUCACAACUUAUUGUUAAGAAAAUGCAAUGAUAAAAAAAUGGUCAAAUCACUUCCACAAAGUUGUGUGUCAAGCACAUGGAUACAUGGAGAAUGCAAGUUGUGGGUUUUCAAAUAACCAUCAAAUUCUCUUCUUCUUCUUCGUUUAUCACUCAAAUGACAACCAAGAAGGUGAUGAUAAUGGUACACCAGUGUCAGUGUUCGGAGUUUAAUGGUGAUGGAGGUUCACGCCGAAACGAAACGAUUCGAUUCGAAACGGUACGGGUCGAAACGGUUCGAUUCGAAAUGGUACGGGUCGAAACGGUUCGAUUCGAAACGGUACUGGUCGAAAUGGUUCGCGUCGAAACAUUCGCGUCGAAAUGGUUCGCGUCGAAACGUUUGCCUCGAAACAGUUGCAUCAUACAGAAUAUGGUUUUGUGAAGGUCUUUCUUUAUGAUUACUCAUUAACUCCUUUUUUUCAGCUUAUGAAACCAGAUAUCUUUGAGUUUAUUGAGAAGAAUAACUUGCAGAAAUGAUAACCGCAAGAGUAGAAGAGACCUUCAGCAGCAAGUCUAUGUUCAAUGGUCAUGUGCAACUGUUGCAAUGGGUCAAGCUGAUUGAUGCUACUGAAGCAAGUGUGUUGUCCGGCUCACCUAUACCCGCCUUUUUAUACUUUAAUUUUCCUUAAGUAAAUGAUGUUUUUUUAAUCUUUUAAUUAUGAAUAUUUACUUUUACAUUGUUGCCACGUGUAUGUGUGUUUGUAGGAUGUGGUCAAAUGGGUUAACUAUGUGUUUAAAUGGUAAAGCGGUUUGGAAAAUGACUCAUCAGCUUACAAAUAUGUUAAUCCAACAGUAAAUAAAGGACAAAGAAGAUAGGUUGUAUGGGAUGGAGGUGGAGGCACAAGAGAGUUCUCAUAUGGGAUAAUGUAUCUAUAUUCAUGUGUUUAUAUUCUACCUUAAAAAAGUGUACAUAUACACACCAUAUGUUAUUUUUUUUAAACUUGAUGGCCUAACUUAUUGACUGUCCUAUGCUUUAAAAGGUGUGAGCGGUUUCAGAAAGCUUAUAUGUGAGGAUAGAGUAUUUCACGUAUGUGAGACGUUUGUAUUUAUAAAACUAAUGGUUUCUCUA